CCUACGGGGGGCAGCAGUAGGGAAUAUUGCUCAAUGGGGGAAACCCUGAAGCAGCAACGCCGCGUGGAGGAUGAAGGUUUUCGGAUUGUAAACCUCCUUUGUUAGAGAAGAUAAUGACGGUACCUAACGAAUAAGCACCGGCUAACUCCGUGCCAGCAGCCGCGGUAACACGGAGGGUGCAAGCGUUACUCGGAAUCACUGGGCGUAAAGAGCGCGUAGGCGGGAUAGCAAGUCAGAUGUGAAAUCCUAGGGUUUAACCAUAGAACUGCAUUUGAAACUGUUAUUCUAGAGUGUGGGAGAGGUAGGUGGAAUGCUUGGUGUAGGGGUGAAAUGCGUAGAGAUCAAGAGGAACACUGAUUGCGAAGGCGGCCUGCUGGAACAUAACUGACGCUGAGGCGCGAAAGCGUGGGGAGCAAACAGGAUUAGAUACCCUUGUAGUC
Molecule: ribosomal RNA, 440 nt
Filed under: uncultured bacterium
Lineage: Bacteria
Description: partial 16S ribosomal RNA
Rfam family: Bacterial small subunit ribosomal RNA
Source: RNAcentral